GAUGAACGCUGGCGGCGUGCCUAAUACAUGCAAGUCGAGCGAACAGACGAGGAACUUGCUCCUCUGACGUUAGCGGCGGACGGGGGAGUAACAUGUGGAUAACCUACCUAUAAAACUGGGAUAAAUUCGGGAAACCGUAGCUAAAACCGGAAAAUAUAUUGAACAGCAAGGUACAAUAGUGAAAGACGGUUUUGCUGUCACUUAUAGAUGGUUCGACACCGCAUUGGCUAGUUGGUGAGGUAACGGCUCACAAAGGCAACGAUGCGUAGCCGAUAUGAGAGGAUGAUCCGCCACACGGGGACGGAGAAACGGCCAAGACACCUAGGGGAGGAAGAAGUGGGGAAUUUUGGAAAAUGGGCGAAAGCCUGAUCCAGCCAUGCCGAGUGAGUGAAGAAGGCCUUCGGGUUGUAAAGCUCUUUCGGCUGGGAAGAAAUCGCACCCUCUAAUACAGGGUGUGGAUGACGGUACCAGCAUAAGAAGCACCGGCUAACUACGUG
This 497-nucleotide ribosomal RNA is filed under the name uncultured bacterium. RNAcentral's name for it is "partial 16S ribosomal RNA". It matches the Rfam family "Bacterial small subunit ribosomal RNA", at positions 28 to 507 of the family's 1533-position model. The record is from RNAcentral.